UUUGUCGUAGCUGAUAAAUGAAAACAAAAUCUCUUAGCAUGGCCCCUGCGCAAGGAUGACAAGCAAAUUCGUGAAGCGUUCCAUAUUUUA
This 90-nucleotide small nuclear RNA is filed under the name Otolemur garnettii (small-eared galago). The record is from RNAcentral. Lineage: Eukaryota; Metazoa; Chordata; Mammalia; Primates; Galagidae.